UCCCUUCCACAUCGUUCUUCAACUGAGUUCCGAGUGUGCAUUUCCAUGGACAAGUUCGAACCUGUAAUGGGUCUUGAUUAGUGAGCCACUCUGUGGUGUUUGGCAACAAUCCUACUAAAAAAAUUCUUCCCGAGAAAAGUGUGCAUAAAACUUUAAACAUAUACAGUUAUAUAUAAUUUUGAUCGGCAAAAGAAAAAAUGAGGUAGCUGCUUCUUCUAACUGAGGAAACCGAAAAGCACCAUGUAUCUACCAUCCUCCUGAAGUGAAAAUGGGAGAACACCAUUAGAUUCAUCUCUCCCUGGUUGUAAUCCUGCCCCAUUCUUUUCUCCGGUUUUAGAUGGUCUCUCCCAGUGGCUCAUUUCUCUGGAUUCAGGUUUUGGUUUCUUCUCCUGAGGAUGGAACUCCCCUAGUCCUCCACCAGACAGGAACUCUCAGAAUCUUCUCGUCAAGAAAAUGUGACUCUGCAUCCAUACGCCGGUUUAGGAACCUUGUUCUUCGUAGAUUCAAUCAUCUCCUUCAAGUGAGCUGCAGGGCGAUCAUGCGCGAUCGCAGAGAAAAAAAUGGUCAGCAUGUAGAAGAGAUUCUCUUAGGCAGAGCUGGAAAAACUAUAAUUAUAAUGAUGAC
RNAcentral lists this long non-coding RNA (624 nucleotides) under Spirodela polyrhiza (greater duckweed). Its description in RNAcentral is "long non-coding RNA (SPOL_LNC001500)". Lineage: Eukaryota; Viridiplantae; Streptophyta; Magnoliopsida; Alismatales; Araceae. The record is from RNAcentral.